GGAGUGCUCGAAAGAGAACCUGCACACAGGUGCUGCAUGGCUGUCGUCAGCUCGUGUCGUGAGAUGUUGGGUUAAGUCCCGCAACGAGCGCAACCCUUGCCAUUAGUUGCUACGAAAGGGCACUCUAAUGGGACUGCCGGUGACAAACCGGAGGAAGGUGGGGAUGACGUCAAGUCCUCAUGGCCCUUAUAGGUGGGGCUACACACGUCAUACAAUGGCCGGUACAGAGGGUAGCCAACCCGCGAGGGGGGAGCCAAUCCCACAAAGCCGGUCGUAGUCCGGAUCGCAGUCUGCAACUCGACUGCGUGAAGUCGGAAUCGCUAGUAAUCGUGGAUCAGCAUGUCACGGUGAAUGCGUUCCCGGGUCUU
This 368-nucleotide ribosomal RNA is filed under the name uncultured Allobrachymonas sp. Its description in RNAcentral is "bacterial SSU rRNA". It matches the Rfam family "Bacterial small subunit ribosomal RNA", at positions 1011 to 1382 of the family's 1533-position model. The record is from RNAcentral. Lineage: Bacteria; Pseudomonadati; Pseudomonadota; Betaproteobacteria; Burkholderiales; Comamonadaceae.